This 494-nucleotide ribosomal RNA is filed under the name uncultured bacterium. Its description in RNAcentral is "partial 16S ribosomal RNA". It matches the Rfam family "Bacterial small subunit ribosomal RNA", at positions 28 to 507 of the family's 1533-position model. The record is from RNAcentral.
GACGAACGCUGGCAGCGUGCUUAACACAUGCAAGUCGAACGGUGAAGCGCCUUCCUUUUUGGUGGGUGUGGAUGAGUGGCGAACGGGUGAGUAACACGUGAGUAACCUGCCCCCUUCUUCUGGAUAACCGCAUGAAAGUGUGGCUAAUACGGGAUAUUCUGGGUCUGUCGCAUGAUGGGUCUGGGAAAGAUAUUGUUUCGGUGGGGGAUGGGCUCGCGGCCUAUCAGCUUGUUGGUGGGGUGAUGGCCUACCAAGGCGGUGACGGGUAGCCGGCCUGAGAGGGUGGACGGUCACACUGGGACUGAGACACGGCCCAGACUCCUACGGGAGGCAGCAGUGGGGAAUAUUGCACAAUGGGCGCAAGCCUGAUGCAGCGACGCCGCGUGAGGGAUGGAGGCCUUCGGGUUGUGAACCUCUUUCGCCAGUGAAGCAGGCCUGCCUCGUUUGUGGGUGGGUUGACGGUAGCUGGAGAAGAAGCGCCGGCUAACUACGUG